CAAAUGUCUUGAGUGACUUCCCUGUUAGUGUUUGGAAGGGCCAUCGCUCAAUGGAUAAAAGUUACUCUAGGGAUAACAGGCUGAUCUUCCCCAAGAGCUCACAUUGAUGGUAAGGUUUGUCACCUCGAUGUUGGCUUUUUACCACCUGGGACUGUAGUAUGUUUCAAGGGUUGGGUUGUUCGCCCAUUAAAGUAGUAAGUGAACUGAGUUCAGAACGUCAUGAGACAGUUUGGUCUAUAUCUGGUGUGGGUGUUAGAGUAUUGAGAGGACCUUUUCCUAGUAUAAGAGGACUAGGAAGGAUGCACCUCUGGUGUACUAGUUAUCAUGCCCAUGGUAAACACUAGGUAGCCAAGUGCAAAGUAGAUAAUUGCUGAAAGCAUCUAAGUAGUAAGCCAACCCCAAGAAAUAAAAAUUUUCAAAUGACUAACAUAGAAUAUCACCUGGAUUGUGUUGGUGAGUGAUCUCAUUCAAAUUAAAUUUGUG
This 483-nucleotide non-coding RNA is filed under the name Vitis vinifera (wine grape). Its description in RNAcentral is "Archaeal large subunit ribosomal RNA". It matches the Rfam family "Bacterial large subunit ribosomal RNA", at positions 2403 to 2925 of the family's 2925-position model. Lineage: Eukaryota; Viridiplantae; Streptophyta; Magnoliopsida; Vitales; Vitaceae. The record is from Rfam by way of RNAcentral.